RNAcentral lists this unclassified non-coding RNA (596 nucleotides) under Virectaria angustifolia. Its description in RNAcentral is "sequence contains ITS1, 5.8S rRNA gene, ITS2". The stretch from base 226 to 381 matches the Rfam family "5.8S ribosomal RNA". Lineage: Eukaryota; Viridiplantae; Streptophyta; Magnoliopsida; Gentianales; Rubiaceae. The record is from RNAcentral.
UCGAAUCCUGAAAAGCAGACCACUGUGAACUCGUGUUACCAAACGGGCGUUGGUGGGAGCGGGUUGGAUUAAAAACCCUCCCGUUGUCACACCGGCGUCCAUCAUGCACCCAUUGGGUGCACCAUAACUAAACUCCGGCGCGGAAAGCGCCAAGGGAAACAAAUAUUGGAUUGCUCGUUACCUUUCGUCCGCGUGGGGUAUCGUGGCAUCUGUCGUAAUCUAAACGACUCUCGGCAACGGAUAUCUCGGCUCUCGCAUCGAUGAAGAACGUAGCGAAAUGCGAUACUUGGUGUGAAUUGCAGAAUCCCGUGAACCAUCGAGUCUUUGAACGCAAGUUGCGCCCAAAGCCAUUAGGCCGAGGGCACGUCUGCCUGGGCGUCACACAUUGCGUUGCCACCCCCACCUACGGGGUGGCAGAGAAUGGCCUCCCAUUCCCCCAGGAGUGGCUGGCCUAAAUGCGAGUCCUCGGUGAGGGACGUCACGACAAGUGGUGGUUGAAUAUCUCAACUCGAGUGCUGUCGUGUUGACGAAUCUCCCGUUAUUGGACUCUGUUGACCCUAUAGCGCACGUCUUGACGUGAGCAUCAAUUGCGACCC